AAAAACAUGGCUUCUCGUUAUAAAUCUAUGUGAAGUCGUACCUGCCCAGUGAAAUUUUAACGGCCGCGGUACUCUGACCGUGCAAAGGUAGCAUAAUAAUUUGCCUUAUAAUUGAAGGCUGGAAUGAAUGGUUUGUCAAGGAUAAAACUGUCUCUAUAAAAUUUUUUAAAAUUUUAUCUUUAAGUGAAAAAGCUUAAAUCCCAUUAAAAGACAAGAAGACCCUAUCGAGCUUUAAAGAACUUAGUAAGUAUUUUGUAACCCAUUGGAAAUUAUAUUACAAAAAAUUUUGGUUGGGGCAACCUAGGAGUAAGAAAAGCCUCCUUUUUUUAAAAAACUAUUUUGUUAAGAUCCAAAAUAUUUGAUUACAAGAAAUAGUUACCGUAGGGAUAACAGCAUUAUUUUUUUUAAGAGUUCUUAUCGAAAAAAAAGUUUGUGACCUCGAUGUUGGACCAGAAUAUCCUAAAGAUGUAGAAGUCUUUAAGGGUUGGUCUGUUCGACCAUUAAAAUUCUACGUGAUC
This 518-nucleotide ribosomal RNA is filed under the name Pleurotomella sp. 2 FC-2020. RNAcentral's name for it is "partial large subunit ribosomal RNA". It matches the Rfam family "Bacterial large subunit ribosomal RNA", at positions 1809 to 2605 of the family's 2925-position model. Lineage: Eukaryota; Metazoa; Mollusca; Gastropoda; Neogastropoda; Raphitomidae. The record is from RNAcentral.